Molecule: unclassified non-coding RNA, 358 nt
Filed under: uncultured Myxotrichaceae
Lineage: Eukaryota; Fungi; Ascomycota; Leotiomycetes; Myxotrichaceae
Description: sequence contains ITS2
Rfam family: 5.8S ribosomal RNA (bases 1-154)
Source: RNAcentral
AACUUUUGGCAAUGGAUCGCUUGGUUCUGGCAUCGAUGAAGAACGCAGCGAAAUGCGAUAAGUAAUGCGAAUUGCAGAAUUCAGUGAGUCAUCGAAUCUUUGAACGCACAUUGCGCCCUGUGGUAUUCCGCAGGGCAUGCCUGUUCGAGCGUCAUUUCAACCCUCAAGCUCUGCUUGGUGUUGGGCCCCGCCCGCUCGCGGCCGGCCCUAAAGACAGUGGCGGCAGCGUCUGGCUCCAAGCGUAGUACAAUCCUCGCUCUGGUGCUAGGCGGUGGCCUGCCAGAACCCCCCUUCUAUGGUUGACCUCGGAUCAGGUAGGGAUACCCGCUGAACUUAAGCAUAUCAAUAAGCGGAGGCU